CGGCUGACGGGUGAGUAACACGUGGAUAACCUACCUAUAAGACUGGGAUAACUUCGGGAAACCGGAGCUAAUACCGGAUAAUAUAUUGAACCGCAUGGUUCAAUAGUGAAAGACGGUUUUGCUGUCACUUAUAGAUGGAUCCGCGCCGCAUUAGCUAGUUGGUAAGGUAACGGCUUACCAAGGCAACGAUGCGUAGCCGACCUGAGAGGGUGAUCGGCCACACCGGAACUGAGACACGGUCCAGACUCCUACGGGAGGCAGCAGUC
This 266-nucleotide ribosomal RNA is filed under the name uncultured Staphylococcus sp. RNAcentral's name for it is "partial 16S ribosomal RNA". It matches the Rfam family "Bacterial small subunit ribosomal RNA", at positions 96 to 355 of the family's 1533-position model. Lineage: Bacteria; Bacillati; Bacillota; Bacilli; Caryophanales; Staphylococcaceae. The record is from RNAcentral.